CGGAGGCUUCUCCUCCACUCAGAACAGCCUUCUGUGCAUCAACUACACGUAACAGCCUGUAAAUAACAGCUCAGCUGCAGUCUAUUUGUGCACCUACAACAUCCCAACACCUGCUGAUGUCCCCACUCUCAGUGUGAAAGUCCACACAGAGGUGGAGCCCACAGUUAUCAAAGGACACACCAUCAACCACAGAGAUCAUCCAGGAGCUCCCAGUG
Oreochromis aureus is the source of this 215-nucleotide long non-coding RNA. RefSeq lists it as uncharacterized. The transcript has 4 exons. NCBI's taxonomy places the organism in Eukaryota, Metazoa, Chordata, Actinopteri, Cichliformes, Cichlidae. The record is from RefSeq and is a predicted model, not a curated record.